This 368-nucleotide ribosomal RNA is filed under the name uncultured organism. RNAcentral describes it as "bacterial SSU rRNA". It matches the Rfam family "Bacterial small subunit ribosomal RNA", at positions 526 to 896 of the family's 1533-position model. The record is from RNAcentral.
CGGAGGAUCCGAGCGUUAUCCGGAUUUAUUGGGUUUAAAGGGUGCGUAGGCGGCCUGUUAAGUCAGGGGUGAAAGACGGUAGCUCAACUAUCGCAGUGCCCUUGAUACUGAUGGGCUUGAAUGUACUAGAGGUAGGCGGAAUGUGACAAGUAGCGGUGAAAUGCUUAGAUAUGUCACAGAACACCAAUUGCGAAGGCAGCUUACUAUGGUAUUAUUGACGCUGAGGCACGAAAGCGUGGGGAUCAAACAGGAUUAGAUACCCUGGUAGUCCACGCCCUAAACGAUGAAUACUCGAUGUUAGCGAUAUACAGUUAGCGUCAAAGCGAAAGCGUUAAGUGUUCCACCUGGGGAGUACGCCCGCAAGGGUG